ACUAAGCGUACACGGUGGAUGCCCUGGCAGUCAGAGGCGAUGAAGGACGUGCUAAUCUGCGAUAAGCGUCGGUAAGGUGAUAUGAACCGUUAUAACCGGCGAUUUCCGAAUGGGGAAACCCAGUGUGAUUCGUCACACUAUCAUUAACUGAAUCCAUAGGUUAAUGAGGCGAACCGGGGGAACUGAAACAUCUAAGUACCCCGAGGAAAAGAAAUCAACCGAGAUUCCCCCAGUAGCGGCGAGCGAACGGGGAGCAGCCCAGAGCCUGAAUCAGUGUGUGUGUUAGUGGAAGCGUCUGGAAAGGCGCGCGAUACAGGGUGACAGCCCCGUACACAAAAAUGCACAUACUGUGAGCUCGAUGAGUAGGGCGGGACACGUGGUAUCCUGUCUGAAUAUGGGGGGACCAUCCUCCAAGGCUAAAUACUCCUGACUGACCGAUAGUGAACCAGUACCGUGAGGGAAAGGCGAAAAGAACCCCGGCGAGGGGAGUGAAAAAGAACCUGAAACCGUGUACGUACAAGCAGUGGGAGCCUCUUUAUGGGGUGACUGCGUACCUUUUGUAUAAUGGGUCAGCGACUUAUAUUCUGUAGCAAGGUUAACCGAAUAGGGGAGCCGAAGGGAAACCGAGUCUUAACUGGGCGUUAAGUUGCAGGGUAUAGACCCGAAACCCGGUGAUCUAGCCAUGGGCAGGUUGAAGGUUGGGUAACACUAACUGGAGGACCGAACCGACUAAUGUUGAAAAAUUAGCGGAUGACUUGUGGCUGGGGGUGAAAGGCCAAUCAAACCGGGAGAUAGCUGGUUCUCCCCGAAAGCUAUUUAGGUAGCGCCUCGUGAAUUCAUCUCCGGGGGUAGAGCACUGUUUCGGCAAGGGGGUCAUCCCGACUUACCAACCCGAUGCAAACUGCGAAUACCGGAGAAUGUUAUCACGGGAGACACACGGCGGGUGCUAACGUCCGUCGUGAAGAGGGAAACAACCCAGACCGCCAGCUAAGGUCCCAAAGUCAUGGUUAAGUGGGAAACGAUGUGGGAAGGCCCAGACAGCCAGGAUGUUGGCUUAGAAGCAGCCAUCAUUUAAAGAAAGCGUAAUAGCUCACUGGUCGAGUCGGCCUGCGCGGAAGAUGUAACGGGGCUAAACCAUGCACCGAAGCUGCGGCAGCGACACUAUGUGUUGUUGGGUAGGGGAGCGUUCUGUAAGCCUGCGAAGGUGUACUGUGAGGUAUGCUGGAGGUAUCAGAAGUGCGAAUGCUGACAUAAGUAACGAUAAAGCGGGUGAAAAGCCCGCUCGCCGGAAGACCAAGGGUUCCUGUCCAACGUUAAUCGGGGCAGGGUGAGUCGACCCCUAAGGCGAGGCCGAAAGGCGUAGUCGAUGGGAAACAGGUUAAUAUUCCUGUACUUGGUGUUACUGCGAAGGGGGGACGGAGAAGGCUAUGUUGGCCGGGCGACGGUUGUCCCGGUUUAAGCGUGUAGGCUGGUUUUCCAGGCAAAUCCGGAAAAUCAAGGCUGAGGCGUGAUGACGAGGCACUACGGUGCUGAAGCAACAAAUGCCCUGCUUCCAGGAAAAGCCUCUAAGCAUCAGGUAACAUCAAAUCGUACCCCAAACCGACACAGGUGGUCAGGUAGAGAAUACCAAGGCGCUUGAGAGAACUCGGGUGAAGGAACUAGGCAAAAUGGUGCCGUAACUUCGGGAGAAGGCACGCUGAUAUGUAGGUGAAGUCCCUCGCGGAUGGAGCUGAAAUCAGUCGAAGAUACCAGCUGGCUGCAACUGUUUAUUAAAAACACAGCACUGUGCAAACACGAAAGUGGACGUAUACGGUGUGACGCCUGCCCGGUGCCGGAAGGUUAAUUGAUGGGGUUAGCGGUAACGCGAAGCUCUUGAUCGAAGCCCCGGUAAACGGCGGCCGUAACUAUAACGGUCCUAAGGUAGCGAAAUUCCUUGUCGGGUAAGUUCCGACCUGCACGAAUGGCGUAAUGAUGGCCAGGCUGUCUCCACCCGAGACUCAGUGAAAUUGAACUCGCUGUGAAGAUGCAGUGUACCCGCGGCAAGACGGAAAGACCCCGUGAACCUUUACUAUAGCUUGACACUGAACAUUGAGCCUUGAUGUGUAGGAUAGGUGGGAGGCUUUGAAGUGUGGACGCCAGUCUGCAUGGAGCCGACCUUGAAAUACCACCCUUUAAUGUUUGAUGUUCUAACGUUGGCCCCUGAUCGGGGUUGCGGACAGUGUCUGGUGGGUAGUUUGACUGGGGCGGUCUCCUCCUAAAGAGUAACGGAGGAGCACGAAGGUUGGCUAAUCCUGGUCGGACAUCAGGAGGUUAGUGCAAUGGCAUAAGCCAGCUUGACUGCGAGCGUGACGGCGCGAGCAGGUGCGAAAGCAGGUCAUAGUGAUCCGGUGGUUCUGAAUGGAAGGGCCAUCGCUCAACGGAUAAAAGGUACUCCGGGGAUAACAGGCUGAUACCGCCCAAGAGUUCAUAUCGACGGCGGUGUUUGGCACCUCGAUGUCGGCUCAUCACAUCCUGGGGCUGAAGUAGGUCCCAAGGGUAUGGCUGUUCGCCAUUUAAAGUGGUACGCGAGCUGGGUUUAGAACGUCGUGAGACAGUUCGGUCCCUAUCUGCCGUGGGCGCUGGAGAACUGAGGGGGGCUGCUCCUAGUACGAGAGGACCGGAGUGGACGCAUCACUGGUGUUCGGGUUGUCAUGCCAAUGGCACUGCCCGGUAGCUAAAUGCGGAAGAGAUAAGUGCUGAAAGCAUCUAAGCACGAAACUUGCCCCGAGAUGAGUUCUCCCUGACUCCUUGAGAGUCCUGAAGGAACGUUGAAGACGACGACGUUGAUAGGCCGGGUGUGUAAGCGCAGCGAUGCGUUGAGCUAACCGGUACUAAUGAACCGUGAGGCUUAACC
This 2893-nucleotide ribosomal RNA is filed under the name Escherichia coli. Its description in RNAcentral is "bacterial LSU rRNA". It matches the Rfam family "Bacterial large subunit ribosomal RNA". The record is from RNAcentral. Lineage: Bacteria; Pseudomonadati; Pseudomonadota; Gammaproteobacteria; Enterobacterales; Enterobacteriaceae.